This 302-nucleotide unclassified non-coding RNA is filed under the name uncultured fungus. Its description in RNAcentral is "partial contains 5.8S ribosomal RNA, internal transcribed spacer 2, and large subunit ribosomal RNA". The stretch from base 1 to 52 matches the Rfam family "5.8S ribosomal RNA", at positions 103 to 154 of the family's 154-position model. Lineage: Eukaryota; Fungi. The record is from RNAcentral.
AACGCACCUUGCGCUCCUUGGUAUUCCGAGGAGCAUGCCUGUUUGAGUGUCGUGAAAUUCUCAAUCCCCUAGAUUUCUUGUCUAGUGGGGCUUGGACUUGGAGGCUUGUGUUGGCUCUCGUUAGCUGACUCCUCUUAAAUGCAUUAGCGUGAAUCUUUUACGGAUCGCCUUCAGUGUGAUAAUUAUCUGCGCUGUGGUGUUGAAGUAUCAAUUUGAUAGUUCAUGCUUCUAACUGUCUCUUUCAGAGACAAUCACUUUGACAAUCUGGCCUCAAAUCAGGUAGGACUACCCGCUGAACUUAA